AGAGAGAGACAUGCGCGCAUAUCAAUAAGCGGAGGAAAAGAAACUAACUAGGAUUCCCCUAGUAACGGCGAGUGAAGCGGCAAGAGCUCAAAUUUGAAAUCUUAAAGGGUUUCCCUUGACGAAUUGUAGUUUAAAGAAGUGUUUUCUGGUGGAGGUUUUGGUAAAAGUUCUUUGGAAUAGGACAUCAUAGAGGGUGAGAAUCCCGUAUUUGACCAUUAUUUCCAGCUUUGUGAUACACUUUCAAAGAGUCGGAUUGUUUGGGAAUGCAGUCCAAAAUGGGUGGUAAAUUUCAUCUAAAGCUAAAUAUUGGCGAGAGACCGAUAGCGAACAAGUACCGUGAGGGAAAGAUGAAAAGAACUUUGAAAAGAGAGUUAAACAGUACGUGAAAUUGUCAAAAGGGAAGCGUUUGACACCAGUGUUGUUUUCUCGAAAAUCAAUUAAAAAGAGUUAGGAUUUUGUUGUGUAUUGACCUUAUCAGCUUCUGCAUUUCAUUUUCUUGUCUUUUUUAAUGCACUUUUCGUUUAACAAGUCAACAUCAAUUUCUUUUGUUGUAAAAGGGUCAUUGGAAGGUGGCUUUCUUUUCGGAGAAAGUGUUUAUAGCCUUUGGCCUCUGCAAUCGGAGAGAUUGAGGUCUGCAGCGUAGAUCCUUCGGGGUUAGAUACAUUUGUGCUAAGUUAUAGCCUUUCAUAGACAACUUGUUGACUAUGAUCAGUCAUGUAGCUUACUCGCUUAUGCUAUUUUACCUACGCUUAGGAUGUUGAUGUGAUACUGCGAGCA
Molecule: ribosomal RNA, 777 nt
Filed under: uncultured Neocallimastigales
Lineage: Eukaryota; Fungi; Neocallimastigomycota; Neocallimastigomycetes; Neocallimastigales
Description: partial large subunit ribosomal RNA
Rfam family: Eukaryotic large subunit ribosomal RNA
Source: RNAcentral